ACGAACGCUGGCGGCGUGCUUAACACAUGCAAGUCGAGCGAUGAAACUACUUCGGUAGUGAAUUAGCGGCGAACGGGUGAGGAACACGUGAGGAAUCUGCCUUCUACACUGGGAUAACUCCGGGAAACCGGGGCUAAUACCGGAUAUGAAACUUGGUGGCAUCACCGAGUUUGGAAAGUUUUUCGGUAGAAGAUGACCUCGCGGCCUAUCAGCUUGUUGGUGAGGUAAUGGCUCACCAAGGCGACGACGGGUAGCCGGCCUGAGAGGGCGACCGGCCACACUGGGACUGAGACACGGCCCAGACUCCUACGGG
Molecule: ribosomal RNA, 313 nt
Filed under: uncultured bacterium
Lineage: Bacteria
Description: bacterial SSU rRNA
Rfam family: Bacterial small subunit ribosomal RNA
Source: RNAcentral